UAAUACGGAGGAUGCAAGCGUUAUCCGGAUUUAUUGGGUUUAAAGGGUGCGUAGGCGGGAGAUUAAGUCAGUGGUGAAAUCCUGCGGCUUAACCGCGGAACUGCCAUUGAUACUGGUUUCCUUGAGUGCAGUUGAGGUGGGCGGAAUGUGUAGUGUAGCGGUGAAAUGCUUAGAUAUUACACAGAACACCGAUUGCGUAGGCAGCUCACUAAACUGUAACUGACGCUGAGGCACGAAAGCGUGGGGAGCGAACAGGAUUAGAUACCCUGGUAGUCCACGCUGUAAACGAUGAUCACUCGUUGUUGGCGAUAUACUGUCAGCGACUGAGCAAAAGCAUUAAGUGAUCCACCUGGGGAGUACGAUCGCAAGAUUG
Molecule: ribosomal RNA, 373 nt
Filed under: uncultured bacterium
Lineage: Bacteria
Description: bacterial SSU rRNA
Rfam family: Bacterial small subunit ribosomal RNA
Source: RNAcentral